This 432-nucleotide ribosomal RNA is filed under the name uncultured bacterium. Its description in RNAcentral is "bacterial SSU rRNA". It matches the Rfam family "Bacterial small subunit ribosomal RNA", at positions 338 to 782 of the family's 1533-position model. The record is from RNAcentral.
CCUACGGGUGGCUGCAGUGGGGAAUAUUGCACAAUGGGCGAAAGCCUGAUGCAGCGACGCCGCGUGAGGGAUGACGGCCUUCGGGUUGUAAACCUCUUUCAGCUCCGAAGAAGCGAGAGUGACGGUAGGAGCAGAAGAAGCACCGGCUAACUACGUGCCAGCAGCCGCGGUAAUACGUAGGGUGCAAGCGUUGUCCGGAAUUAUUGGGCGUAAAGAGCUCGUAGGCGGUGUGUCGCGUCUGCUGUGAAAACUCAGGGCUCAACUCUGAGCUUGCAGUGGGUACGGGCACACUAGAGUGCUGUAGGGGAGACUGGAAUUCCUGGUGUAGCGGUGAAAUGCGCAGAUAUCAGGAGGAACACCGGUGGCGAAGGCGGGUCUCUGGGCAGUUACUGACGCUGAGGAGCGAAAGCAUGGGGAGCGAACAGGAUUAGA